RNAcentral lists this ribosomal RNA (460 nucleotides) under uncultured bacterium. RNAcentral describes it as "partial 16S ribosomal RNA". It matches the Rfam family "Bacterial small subunit ribosomal RNA", at positions 338 to 795 of the family's 1533-position model. The record is from RNAcentral.
CCUACGGGUGGCAGCAGUGAGGAAUAUUGGUCAAUGGGCUUACGCCUGAACCAGCCAAGUCGCGUGAGGGAAGACUGCCCUAUGGGUUUUAAACCUCUUUUGUCAGGGAGCAACGCCGGCUACGUGUAGCCGGACUGAGAGUACCUGAAGAAAAAGCAUCGGCUAACUCCGUGCCAGCAGCCGCGGUCAUACGGGGGAUGCGAGCGUUAUCCGGAUUUAUUGGGUUUAAAGGGUGCGUAGGCGGAAUGCCAAGUCAGCGGUAAAAUCGCGGGGCUCAACCUCGCUCCGCCGUUGAUCCUGGCGGUCUUGAGUGGGCGAGAAGUAUGCGGAAUGCGUGGUGUAGCGGUGAAAUGCAUAGAGAUCACGCAGAACUCCGAUUGCGAAGGCAGCAUACCGGCGCCCAACUGACGCUGAAGCACGAAAGCGUGGGUAUCGAACAGGAUUAGAUACCCUUGUAGUC